GCUUAUUCUGAAAUUAUGUGAUCUUAGGAUGGAUAAUUAGUGGCCAUUGAUAAUCGUGUAUAUAGCCGUUAUGCAUUUUUCGUGCUGGUAGUUUCCAAUAUGCCGAUUAUAUGUUGGUAUGUAUGAUAUAUUGGUUGAUCGUCGGUUGGUUAUUCUGACAUACCGACUAGUCAGCUGUCAUCGUAGUUGACUUGAUCUUGGGUGGAAGUGGAUCGAAAAUCUCCGACUAUAUGUCGAUGUAACCGAUUGAUAGUCGGACAUUCCACUUGUUACACUGACUGAGAGUUGGGUGACAUAUUGUAAUCGAUCCGAAACUCAUUCCGCAA
Molecule: long non-coding RNA, 326 nt
Filed under: Elaeis guineensis (African oil palm)
Lineage: Eukaryota; Viridiplantae; Streptophyta; Magnoliopsida; Arecales; Arecaceae
Description: long non-coding RNA (EGUI_LNC000307)
Source: RNAcentral